UUUUUCUAUAUUCAAUUUUUUAUUUCUCUUUUGCAUCUGUUAUCUUGAAAACUUUAUUUACAUUUAUAUUAAAACUUUCUAUCACAUAUAAUCACUACAACAGAAUUAGGUUAUAGGAACACAUAUUUGGGACACUUUGAGUAAGUGUCUCAUUUAUCCUAAAACUUAAAAAAACAUCUACUAAUGCCUAAAUAUAAAGCCCAAUCAAACUAAAAAUAAAAUAUUACUCUACUCAACCCACCACACCUAGUCCAUUUCGCCCGAUUACAAACAGUAAAAAAAAAAAAAAAUCAAUUACCAUCUUUUCUUCUCUCUUCACUCAAUCCACUGAAAUUCUAGACGAAGAGCCUUUCCUGUCGUCCUCCUCCACCACCACAGCCAACGAGAUAGAGUUUCGGCGGUUGCUAAAUGCUUAAAUAAGUGUUGAUAAAUUAGCAGCACUCUUUUAGUUUAUAACGACACUCUUUAACUGUCGCUAUAUACCUAGCGACCCCAUAUAUAGCAACAUUUUUUAAAAGUGUCGGUAAUUUUAGCUAGAAGCACUUUUUUGACAUGUACCUACAUUUAAAAGUGUUGCUAUAGACCGUUUUUGUUGUAGUGAAUGUAAAGACAAACAAUUUAGACCUCAUAUAUAAUAUAUACACAUACACUUAAUCCAUAAAAUUACAAUUCAUGAAAUGCACAAAUUUCAUACUAGUAUAUAUAAGUAUUACUAUAUACCAGAUAUAGCUAGCCCUAAUUCAUACAGCAUAUAAUAUAAUUCAUAAUAAGAAUAUACGUGAGGAUGAGGAUCGUGUACACCGCAUGUUGACAUGCCUGGGCAUUCUCUUUCAUACCGUGCGAUUUAUUUUUGUUUGUUCAUUCUAAAGAGGCCAAGCAUGCCGUUGGAGAUCACAUUACUUUCUAAUUAAAUGGACUUAUUCCCAGAUUUGAUAUAUGAGUAAAUUUUGUUACAUAUUGUUGACAACGAAUUUUGUUCAUAAGAUAUGGACAUAUUCGGAGAAGGGAUGUGGGCGAUAGCCGAAUGGAGGUUUCGCUUGAGUAAGAGGGGGCAUAACAAAAGCCAUUUUGAUAAAAAGCUUCAGAGAGGCCUGCAGACAAACCAUUUAAAAUUUAAAUAGAAAAUGUUGAAGAAUUUGAAAAUAGCUGCAACAACAGAGAUGAUUUCAGACAGAGAGAGCGUAACUAUCUCGUGCAAAUCGCUCGGAUGAAUUACAGCUAUGUCAAGCCGGAGUUUAAUAUUGACAACUGGCUACGUAAGGAGGCAUCGAUCGAAACAUAUCCAAUUUUAUCCAUAUUCUCUACUAGUACUAGAUGUAGGCACUACAACAGAAUUAGGUUAUAGGAACACAUGUUUGGGACACUUUUCAGUAAGUGUCCCAUUUAUGCUAAAACUUAAAAAAACAUCUACUAAUGCCUAAAUAUAAAGCCCAAUCCAACCAAAAAUAAAAGAUUACUCUACUCAACCCACCACACCCAGUCCAUUUGGCCCGAUUACAAACAAAAAAGAAAAAAAAAAAGAAAAAUCAAUUACCAUAUUUUCUUCUCUCUUUACUCAAUCUACUGAAAUUCUAGACGAAGAGCCAUUCCUGUCGUCCUCCUCCGCCACCGCAGCCAACGAGAUAGAGUUUCGGCGGUUGUUAAAUUCUUAAAUAAGUUGUUGGUAAAUUAGCAGCACUCUUUUAGAUUAUAGCAACACUCUUUAACUGUCACUAUAUACCUAGCGACCCCACAUAUAGCAACAUUUUUUAAAAGUGUCGGUAAUUUUAGCUAGCAGCACUUUUUUGACAUGUACCUAUAUUUAAAAGUGUCGCUAUAGACCAUUUUUGUUGUAGUGAGGCAUUAUCACUGAGCAAUGGUAACGUAUAGUUCCUCUAUC
This 1879-nucleotide long non-coding RNA is filed under the name Ananas comosus (pineapple). RNAcentral's name for it is "long non-coding RNA (ACOM_LNC003505)". The record is from RNAcentral. Lineage: Eukaryota; Viridiplantae; Streptophyta; Magnoliopsida; Poales; Bromeliaceae.